Molecule: ribosomal RNA, 502 nt
Filed under: uncultured bacterium
Lineage: Bacteria
Description: partial 16S ribosomal RNA
Rfam family: Bacterial small subunit ribosomal RNA
Source: RNAcentral
AUUGAACGCUGGCGGCGUGCCUAACACAUGCAAGUCGAGCGGUAACAGGUGUAGCAAUACAUGCUGACGAGCGGCGAACGGGUGAGUAAUGCUUCGGAAUCUACCUUAUGGUGGGGAAUAACUAGCCGAAAGGUUAGCUAAUACCGCAUACGUCCUACGGGAGAAAGCAGGGGAUCGCAAGACCUUGCGCCAAAAGAUGAGCCGAAGUCGGAUUAGCUAGUUGGUAGGGUAACGGCCUACCAAGGCGACGAUCCGUAGCUGGGCUGAGAGGACGACCAGCCACACGGGGACUAAGACGCGGCCCAGACUCCUACGGGAGGCAGCAGUGGGGAAUAUUGGACAAUGGGGGAAACCCUGAUCCAGCGACGCCGCGUGUGUGAAGAAGGCCUGCGGGUUGUAAAGCACUUUUAGUGGGGAUGAAAUGUGCAGGGUUAAUACCUCUGCAUUUUGACCUAACCCACAGAAAAAGCACCGGCUAACUCUGUGCCAGCCGCCGCCGUAA